UACAGAGGUCCCAAGCGUUGUUCGGAUUCACUGGGCGUAAAGGGCGCGUAGGUGGCGACCCAAGUCUGUGGUGAAAGCUCGCCGCUUAACGGCGAGUCGGCCACGGAUACUGGGUGGCUCGAGCACUGUAGGGGCAGAUGGAAUUCCGGGUGUAGCGGUGGAAUGCGUAGAGAUCCGGAAGAACACCGGUGGCGAAGGCGGUCUGCUGGGCAGUAGCUGACACUGAGGCGCGACAGCGUGGGGAGCAAACAGG
This 253-nucleotide ribosomal RNA is filed under the name uncultured bacterium. RNAcentral describes it as "partial 16S ribosomal RNA". It matches the Rfam family "Bacterial small subunit ribosomal RNA", at positions 524 to 776 of the family's 1533-position model. The record is from RNAcentral.